RNAcentral lists this ribosomal RNA (253 nucleotides) under uncultured bacterium. Its description in RNAcentral is "partial 16S ribosomal RNA". It matches the Rfam family "Bacterial small subunit ribosomal RNA", at positions 524 to 776 of the family's 1533-position model. The record is from RNAcentral.
UACGUAGGCAGCAAGCGUUGUUCGGAAUUACUGGGCGUAAAGAGUGUGUAGGCGGUGCUCUAAGUCUGUUGUGAAAUCUCCCGGCUUAACUGGGAGGGUGCGGCGGAGACUGGAGUGCUAGAGUGUGGGAGAGGUAAGCGGAAUUCCUGGUGUAGCGGUGAAAUGCGUAGAUAUCAGGAGGAACACCUGUGGUGUAGACAGCUUACUGGACCACGACUGACGCUGAGACACGAAAGCGUGGGUAGCAAACGGG